RNAcentral lists this ribosomal RNA (490 nucleotides) under uncultured bacterium. Its description in RNAcentral is "partial 16S ribosomal RNA". It matches the Rfam family "Bacterial small subunit ribosomal RNA", at positions 30 to 507 of the family's 1533-position model. The record is from RNAcentral.
AUUGAACGCUGGCGGCAGGCCUAACACAUGCAAGUCGAACGGUAACAGGAAGCAGCUUGCUGCUUUGCUGACGAGUGGCGGACGGGUGAGUAAUGUCUGGGAAACUGCCUGAUGGAGGGGGAUAACUACUGGAAACGGUAGCUAAUACCGCAUAACGUCGCAAGACCAAAGAGGGGGACCUUCGGGCCUCUUGCCAUCGGAUGUGCCCAGAUGGGAUUAGCUAGUAGGUGGGGUAACAGCUCACCUAGGCGACGAUCCCUAGCUGGUCUGAGAGGAUGACCAGCCACACUGGAACUGAGACACGGUCCAGACUCCUACGGGAGGCAGCAGUGGGGAAUAUUGCACAAUGGGCGCAAGCCUGAUGCAGCCAUGCCGCGUGUAUGAAGAAGGCCUUCGGGUUGUAAAGUACUUUCAGCGGGGAGGAAGGGAGUAAAGUUAAUACCUUUGCUCAUUGACGUUACCCGCAGAAGAAGCACCGGCUAACUCCGUG